Long non-coding RNA from Peromyscus eremicus (cactus mouse), 352 nucleotides. RefSeq lists it as uncharacterized. The record is from RefSeq and is a predicted model, not a curated record. The transcript is spliced from 3 exons. NCBI's taxonomy places the organism in Eukaryota, Metazoa, Chordata, Mammalia, Rodentia, Cricetidae.
GCAGGUCACUCAAGAGUAAUUGCCAAGAAUGUAUGAUGUGAUGGACCAUGUGGAGGAAGAUUGAGGAGGCAGAGAAAUGACAUCAAUUAAUCUGGUCAGGAGGGAGAUUUGCUCCAUGUGGAUGUCUAGAUGGAUAACAUUGAUUUUGUGGGAAUGACAGUCCACUAGAAACCUGAAGGGCACUGAGGAGAUGCUUCUCUGCCUUCUCCUGGGAAGCUUUCGCUGAAGACACAGACCUCACACCUAGCUGGUGGUAUUGUAAUUUGAGGGGCUUCCUGCCUUUUAAUUUUAAUUAUUAUUUUCUUGUGUGUGAAACUCAGCUAAGUUUUUAUGUUUCUGUGCAUUAGCAUGU